This 1400-nucleotide ribosomal RNA is filed under the name Streptococcus sp. 2010_Ileo_MS_IXa. RNAcentral describes it as "bacterial SSU rRNA". It matches the Rfam family "Bacterial small subunit ribosomal RNA". Lineage: Bacteria; Bacillati; Bacillota; Bacilli; Lactobacillales; Streptococcaceae. The record is from RNAcentral. RNAcentral also lists the same sequence under 1 other name.
GCUGAAGAGAGGAGCUUGCUCUUCUUGGAUGAGUUGCGAACGGGUGAGUAACGCGUAGGUAACCUGCCUUGUAGCGGGGGAUAACUAUUGGAAACGAUAGCUAAUACCGCAUAACAAUGGAUGACACAUGUCAUUUAUUUGAAAGGGGCAAUUGCUCCACUACAAGAUGGACCUGCGUUGUAUUAGCUAGUAGGUGAGGUAACGGCUCACCUAGGCGACGAUACAUAGCCGACCUGAGAGGGUGAUCGGCCACACUGGGACUGAGACACGGCCCAGACUCCUACGGGAGGCAGCAGUAGGGAAUCUUCGGCAAUGGGGGCAACCCUGACCGAGCAACGCCGCGUGAGUGAAGAAGGUUUUCGGAUCGUAAAGCUCUGUUGUAAGUCAAGAACGAGUGUGAGAGUGGAAAGUUCACACUGUGACGGUAGCUUACCAGAAAGGGACGGCUAACUACGUGCCAGCAGCCGCGGUAAUACGUAGGUCCCGAGCGUUGUCCGGAUUUAUUGGGCGUAAAGCGAGCGCAGGCGGUUUGAUAAGUCUGAAGUUAAAGGCUGUGGCUCAACCAUAGUUCGCUUUGGAAACUGUCAAACUUGAGUGCAGAAGGGGAGAGUGGAAUUCCAUGUGUAGCGGUGAAAUGCGUAGAUAUAUGGAGGAACACCGGUGGCGAAAGCGGCUCUCUGGUCUGUAACUGACGCUGAGGCUCGAAAGCGUGGGGAGCGAACAGGAUUAGAUACCCUGGUAGUCCACGCCGUAAACGAUGAGUGCUAGGUGUUGGAUCCUUUCCGGGAUUCAGUGCCGCAGCUAACGCAUUAAGCACUCCGCCUGGGGAGUACGACCGCAAGGUUGAAACUCAAAGGAAUUGACGGGGGCCCGCACAAGCGGUGGAGCAUGUGGUUUAAUUCGAAGCAACGCGAAGAACCUUACCAGGUCUUGACAUCCCGAUGCUAUUUCUAGAGAUAGAAAGUUACUUCGGUACAUCGGUGACAGGUGGUGCAUGGUUGUCGUCAGCUCGUGUCGUGAGAUGUUGGGUUAAGUCCCGCAACGAGCGCAACCCCUAUUGUUAGUUGCCAUCAUUCAGUUGGGCACUCUAGCGAGACUGCCGGUAAUAAACCGGAGGAAGGUGGGGAUGACGUCAAAUCAUCAUGCCCCUUAUGACCUGGGCUACACACGUGCUACAAUGGUUGGUACAACGAGUUGCGAGUCGGUGACGGCAAGCUAAUCUCUUAAAGCCAAUCUCAGUUCGGAUUGUAGGCUGCAACUCGCCUACAUGAAGUCGGAAUCGCUAGUAAUCGCGGAUCAGCACGCCGCGGUGAAUACGUUCCCGGGCCUUGUACACACCGCCCGUCACACCACGAGAGUUUGUAACACCCGAAGUCGGUGAGGUAACCUUUNNAGCCAGC